CCUACGGGAGGCAGCAGUCGAGAAUCUUUCACAAUGGGGGAAACCCUGAUGGUGCGACGCCGCGUGGGGGAAUGAAGGUCUCCGGAUUGUAAACUCCUGUCAUGUGGGAGCAAAUUAAAACGAUAGAACCACAAGUGGAAGAGACGGCUAACUCUGUGACAGCAGCCGCGGUAAUACGGAGGUCUCAAGCGUUGUUCGGAAUCACUGGGCGUAAAGCGUGCGUAGGCUGUUUCGUAAGUCGUGUGUGAAAGGCGCGGGCUCAACCCGCGGACGGCACAUGAUACUGCGAGACUAGAGUAAUGGAGGGGGAGCCGGAAUUCUCGGUGUAGCGGUGAAAUGCGUAGAUAUCGAGAGGAACACUCAUGGCGAAGGCGAGUUCCUGGACAUUAACUGACGCUGAGGCACGAAGGCGAGGGGAGCGAAAGGGAUUAGAUACCCCUGUAGUC
This 446-nucleotide ribosomal RNA is filed under the name uncultured bacterium. RNAcentral's name for it is "partial 16S ribosomal RNA". It matches the Rfam family "Bacterial small subunit ribosomal RNA", at positions 338 to 795 of the family's 1533-position model. The record is from RNAcentral.